This 492-nucleotide ribosomal RNA is filed under the name uncultured bacterium. RNAcentral's name for it is "partial 16S ribosomal RNA". It matches the Rfam family "Bacterial small subunit ribosomal RNA", at positions 29 to 507 of the family's 1533-position model. The record is from RNAcentral.
AGUGAACGCUGGCGGUAGGCCUAACACAUGCAAGUCGAACGGCAGCACAGUAAGAGCUUGCUCUUACGGGUGGCGAGUGGCGGACGGGUGAGGAAUACAUCGGAAUCUACUUUUUCGUGGGGGAUAACGUAGGGAAACUUACGCUAAUACCGCAUACGACCUACGGGUGAAAGCAGGGGAUCUUCGGACCUUGCGCGAUUGAAUGAGCCGAUGUCGGAUUAGCUAGUUGGCCGGGUAAAGGCCCACCAAGGCGACGAUCCGUAGCUGGUCUGAGAGGAUGAUCAGCCACACUGGAACUGAGACACGGUCCAGACUCCUACGGGAGGCAGCAGUGGGGAAUAUUGGACAAUGGGCGCAAGCCUGAUCCAGCCAUACCGCGUGGGUGAAGAAGGCCUUCGGGUUGUAAAGCCCUUUUGUUGGGAAAGAAAAGCAGCAGGUUAAUACCCCGCUGCUCUGACGGUACCCAAAGAAUAAGCACCGGCUAACUUCGUG